Molecule: ribosomal RNA, 301 nt
Filed under: uncultured bacterium
Lineage: Bacteria
Description: partial 16S ribosomal RNA
Rfam family: Bacterial small subunit ribosomal RNA
Source: RNAcentral
CAGCCGCCACGGGAAUACGGAGGGGGCUAGCGUUGCUCGGAAUUACUGGGCGUAAAGGGAGCGUAGGCGGACUGUUUAGUCAGAGGUGAAAGCCCAGGGCUCAACCUUGGAAUUGCCUUUGAUACUGGCAGUCUUAAGUACGGAAGAGGUAUGUGGAACUCCGAGUGUAGAGGUGAAAUUCGUAGAUAUUCGGGAGAACACCAGUGGCGAAGGCGACAUACUGGUCCGUUACUGACGCUGAGGCUCGAAAGCGUGGGGAGCAAACAGGAUUAGAGACCCCUGUAGUCCCUGUCUCUUAUAU